GACGAACCGUGCGAACGUUGUUCGGAAUCACUGGGCUUAAAGGGCGCGUAGGCGGGGGACCAAGUCUGGGGUGAAAGCUUUCGGCUUAACCGGAAAAGGGCCUUGGAUACUGGUUCUCUCGAGGGAGGUAGGGGUCUGCGGAACUUCUGGUGGAGCGGUGAAAUGCGUUGAUAUCAGAAGGAACGCCGGUGGCGAAAGCGGCGGACUGGACCUCUUCUGACGCUGAGGCGCGAAAGCCAGGGGAGCAAACGGG
Molecule: ribosomal RNA, 253 nt
Filed under: uncultured bacterium
Lineage: Bacteria
Description: partial 16S ribosomal RNA
Rfam family: Bacterial small subunit ribosomal RNA
Source: RNAcentral